GUAGGGAAUCUUCCGCAAUGGACGAAAGUCUGACGGAGCAACGCCGCGUGAGUGAUGAAGGUUUUCGGAUCGUAAAGCUCUGUUGUUAGGGAAGAACAAGUACAAGAGUAACUGCUUGUACCUUGACGGUACCUAACCAGAAAGCCACGGCUAACUACGUGCCAGCAGCCGCGGUAAUACGUAGGUGGCAAGCGUUGUCCGGAAUUAUUGGGCGUAAAGCGCGCGCAGGCGGUCCUUUAAGUCUGAUGUGAAAGCCCACGGCUCAACCGUGGAGGGUCAUUGGAAACUGGGGGACUUGAGUGCAGAAGAGAAGAGUGGAAUUCCACGUGUAGCGGUGAAAUGCGUAGAGAUGUGGAGGAACACCAGUGGCGAAGGCGACUCUUUGGUCUGUAACUGACGCUGAGGCGCGAAAGCGUGGGGAGCAAACAGG
Molecule: ribosomal RNA, 430 nt
Filed under: uncultured bacterium
Lineage: Bacteria
Description: bacterial SSU rRNA
Rfam family: Bacterial small subunit ribosomal RNA
Source: RNAcentral